RNAcentral lists this transfer RNA (60 nucleotides) under Candidiopotamon okinawense. RNAcentral's name for it is "tRNA-Pro". Lineage: Eukaryota; Metazoa; Arthropoda; Malacostraca; Decapoda; Potamidae. The record is from RNAcentral.
CAGAGGUAGUUUAAAUAAAAUAUUAAUUUUGGGGAUUAAAGAUAAUUCUAAUUUCUCUGA